AUGAUGCUUUGUUUGUUUGAGAAGGAGUGGUUACUAUUCUGUUUCAGAGGUCCAGAGAGAAAGAACUGAGAAACUGAAUGAGAUAGUGAUCAUCAUACAUAUUUCAGGACAUUCAGAGGAAAGAUACUCAAUGUCAGGCAUUUGUGAAGAGAGUCAUAACGAGUAAUCUGUUUAAGAAAAUUAUGAUUAGCACCAUCUCAAUUAAUGCCUUUUUGGUGGUCUUAUGGACUGAUUAUGAAACAAGAUACAGGUUUUUCAGAGUUUUUGAGGGAUAAAAUAAAGUUAUAACAUGUACAAGCAGGACACACUACAGAUUUUCCAUAGGAUUACCUUUGUGGGAAGGGUAGGGGAUCUGAGCAAU
Long non-coding RNA from Myotis davidii, 361 nucleotides. RefSeq lists it as uncharacterized. The record is from RefSeq and is a predicted model, not a curated record. Lineage: Eukaryota; Metazoa; Chordata; Mammalia; Chiroptera; Vespertilionidae. The transcript is spliced from 3 exons.